UACGAAGGGGGCUAGCGUUGCUCGGAAUGACUGGGCGUAAAGGGCGCGUAGGCGGUUCGUACAGUCAGACGUGAAAUUCCCGGGCUCAACCUGGGGGCUGCGUUUGAUACGUGCGGGCUUGAGUUCGGAAGAGGGUCGUGGAAUUCCCAGUGUAGAGGUGAAAUUCGUAGAUAUUGGGAAGAACACCGGUGGCGAAGGCGGCGACCUGGUCCGAUACUGACGCUGAGGCGCGAAAGCUAGGGGAGCAAACGGG
RNAcentral lists this ribosomal RNA (253 nucleotides) under uncultured bacterium. Its description in RNAcentral is "partial 16S ribosomal RNA". It matches the Rfam family "Bacterial small subunit ribosomal RNA", at positions 524 to 776 of the family's 1533-position model. The record is from RNAcentral.